GCAGCAGGCUGGGAGUCAGGGACGGAAAGAGAAAUGCAGUAGUCGAGGCGCCUCGAAAACACCAGGAGAGGCAUUUUCGAUUCGGUAUUUUAAAAGCCAUCGCAAGGUGUUCACAAAGACGUGUUUUGUGGACCAGCACCGGCCGAGAAGCAGGGCGCUGCAUUUCACAUCGAGGUGUUCCGAGUGAGGAUCCAGUUGGGACUGAAGAUGGACCGGGUAGACCCCAGACAGAGCAGCGGGUCCCAGAAAGGGGAGCAGCGGGUGAACCCCUUGAUUGGGUGGGGAGCUGUGGCUGACUCUGUCGGAACGGGUAAUGGUCUGGAGCACUGUCGGACAGCAACUCUGCAAACCAGUAUGAGGAGCCCAUAGCCCGUUGGGAGGUGGUGUCCUGGCCCUGCAGAAUGAUUGAUGCCAGAGGGAGGAGCUACCGAGUGUCCCUAAUCGGGGGGCUAUCCUCGACAAUCUGGGAGAGGAGCUACCCAGUGAUUUUUCCUUAUGGACUAUUCUCAGUGGAAUGCAAUGUUUUAAAUUAUACUGCUUUGGAAGCACCUGCCUCUGGUCUUGCAAACCGUUAUGCAAGACUGGAGAAGGGGGAGGAAAUGUGAAGGAGUGACCCUUCACUAGCCUGUUAUUUAAUUGCUUGUAUUUAAUUGAUUUAAUUGAAUGUAAUUUUGUAAAUUUGAGGCGAUUGAAACCAAGUGCAAUUGAUUGGCUCAAGCUAUUUAAGGACUGUCCGUAGGGGCAGAGGGGGAGAAGGUGAGCCACAACGAUCGUUUGUACUGCUGGUGUUUUUAAAAUAAAUUAUUUGUCUUUUUAAAGU
Anguilla anguilla (European eel) is the source of this 820-nucleotide long non-coding RNA. RefSeq lists it as uncharacterized. NCBI's taxonomy places the organism in Eukaryota, Metazoa, Chordata, Actinopteri, Anguilliformes, Anguillidae. The transcript has 3 exons. The record is from RefSeq and is a predicted model, not a curated record.